AUUGAACGCUGGCGGCAUGCCUUACACAUGCAAGUCGAACGGUAACGGGCCUUCGGGUGCCGACGAGUGGCGAACGGGUGAGUAAUACAUCGGAACGUGCCCGAACGUGGGGGAUAACGAGGCGAAAGCUUUGCUAAUACCGCAUACGAUCUACGGAUGACAGCAGGGGACCGCAAGGCCUUGCGCGGACGGAGCGGCCGAUGGCAGAUUAGGUAGUUGGUGGGAUAAAAGCUUAUCAAGCCGACGAUCUGUAGCUGGUCUGAGAGGAUGAUCAGCCACACUGGGACUGAGACACGGCCCAGACUCCUACGGGAGGCAGCAGUGGGGAAUUUUGGACAAUGGGCGCAAGCCUGAUCCAGCCAUGCCGCGUGCAGGAUGAAGGCCUUCGGGUUGUAAACUGCUUUUGUACGGAACGAAAAGCCUUCUUUUAAUACAGGAGGGUCAUGACGGUACCGUAAGAAUAAGCACCGGCUAACUACGUG
RNAcentral lists this ribosomal RNA (482 nucleotides) under uncultured bacterium. RNAcentral describes it as "partial 16S ribosomal RNA". It matches the Rfam family "Bacterial small subunit ribosomal RNA", at positions 30 to 507 of the family's 1533-position model. The record is from RNAcentral.